RNAcentral lists this long non-coding RNA (1913 nucleotides) under Homo sapiens (human). RNAcentral's name for it is "HSALNT0308410". Lineage: Eukaryota; Metazoa; Chordata; Mammalia; Primates; Hominidae. The record is from RNAcentral.
AGCUUCAUCUCCACUCGACCAACAUGAUGCAGGUUUUCUACUGGAAUGCCGAGUUAUUUCAGGACAAGGGGGAAGAGCUACAGGCCAGUCAACAACACCAGCUGCCCAUCCCAGCAGGAUCACUCUAAGGCAUCCCCUUUACCAUGCAUCACUUGGGGCUGAAUCCUUGUGCAUUUGCUGUCUGGAGAACUGAGUAACGAAAAUGCUGGGGCUGGGCCCAAGCCUGAUAUUCAAGCAGACCUUGAUAAAGCGCUCUGAGAAAUUGCCUUGCUUCAGGCUGGGUCCCUGCCAUGUGACAAUGGACACAGCGCUGAAGAACCAACUAUGAACAAGACAAAAGAUUGCUGCCCUCAUGGAACUUUCUGUCCAGAUGGAGAGACAGACAAUUAAACAGGACUGGAGCCCUUAUAAGAAGAUGGAGAGACACCAGAGAAAUGAAGACACGGCAAGAAGGUGGCCACCUGCAAGCCAAGGAGAGAGGCCUCACCAGAAGCCCUGUUGGCACCUUGAUCUCGAACUUCCAGUCUCCAGAACUGUGAGACAAUAAAUCUAUGUUGUUUAAAAUACUUACCCUAAGGUAUUCUGUUAUGACAGCCCUAGCAGACUAAUAUACCCCCAAAUGGAAUAAUAAUAAUAAUGAUAUACAGAGAUGAUUAUGCAUCAAGCAAAGUUCUAAGUGCCAUGCAAAUAUUAAUGUAUUUAAUCUACACAGGCUACACAGGAAUUUUAUGAGGAAGAUACUUGUAUUAUUUUCAUUUUAUAAUUGAGGAAAUUGAAUUACAUAGAGGUUAAGUGAUUUUACCCAUGAUCAUGCAGCUAGUAAGUAGUGGACCUAGGAUUUGAACUAGGCAAUCUGGUUCCAGAGGGCAUGCUCUAAACCAGUAGUCUCCAACAUUUUUGGCACCAGGGGAUGGUUUCAUGGAAGACAAUUCUCCCGUGGACUGGGGUAGGGGAUGAUUUAACUGCAUUACAUUUAUUGUGCACUUUAUUUCUAUUUUUAUUACACUGUAAUAUAUAAUGAAAUAAUUAUACAACUCACCAGAAUGUAGAAUCAGUGAGAGCCCUGAGCUUGUUUUCCUGCAACUAGAUGGUCCCAUCUAGGGGUGAUGGGAGAUGGUGACAGAUCAUCAGGCAUUAGAUUCCCAUAAGGAGUGCACAACCUAGAACCCUCCCAUGUGCAGUUCACAAUAGGGUUUGUGAUCCUAUGAGAAUUUAAUGCUGUUCCUGAUCUGACAGGAGGCGGAGCUCAGGUGGUAAUACAAGUGAUGGGGAGUGGCUGUAAAUACAGAUGAAGCUUCUCUCACUUGGCCCCCCACUCACCUCCUUCUGUGCAGCCUGGUUCCUAACAAGUUACAGACCUGUGCCAGUCCAUGGCCUGGGGGUUGGGGACCCCUGCUGUAAACCACAGAUACUAUCUCUCUAAGAAGAUAUUAGAAUUAUGGUGACGUAUUUAAAUUGCAUGCAAAGAUAGUAUUAGGUGUUAUUUUGAAAGUAGGUUAAAAACAUAUACAGUGAUAUGUAUAGAUUAUGUAUAUAUAGAGAGAUAUACACACAUACAUAAUUUCUAAUCAUCAGUGCUUACAUAUAUUAUUAUUUCAUAUAUAGUUCAUAUAUAUAUAUUUACUGAUAUGGUCUGAAUGUUUGAGUCCCCCCAAAAUUCAUAUAUUAAAAUCAUAGCCCCCAAAGCAAUGAUAUUAGGAGGUAGGGCUUUAAGGAGGUGAUUAGCUCAUGAGUGUGGGGCCUUCAUGCAACUAGUACCUUUAUAAAGGAGACCCAAGAAAAACCCCAUCAUUUUUCCUCCAUGUGAAGACACAGUAAGAAGACACCAUCUAUGAAUCUAUGAGGAAGCAGGCCCUCACCAGACACCAAAUGUGCUGGUUCCUAGAUCUUGGACUUCCCAGCCUCCAGAACUG